GAUGAACGCUAGCGAUAGGCUUAACACAUGCAAGUCGAGGGGCAGCACAAGGUAGCUUGCUCUCUGGGUGGCGACCGGCGCACGGGUGCGUAACGCGUAUGCAACUUGCCCUAUACAGGAGGAUAACCCGUCGAAAGACGGACUAAUACUGCGUAUGCUCACAACUUGGCAUCAAGUGGUGAGGAAAGAAAUUCGGUAUAGGAUAGGCAUGCGUCCCAUUAGCUUGUUGGUGAGGUAACGGCUCACCAAGGCAACGAUGGGUAGGGGAACUGAGAGGUUUAUCCCCCACACUGGUACUGAGACACGGACCAGACUCCUACGGGAGGCAGCAGUGAGGAAUAUUGGUCAAUGGGCGCGAGCCUGAACCAGCCAAGUCGCGUGAAGGAUGACUGUCUUAUGGAUUGUAAACUUCUUUUAUACGGGAAUAACAAGAGCCACGGGUGACUCCCUGCAUGUACCGUAUGAAUAAGCAUCGGCUAACUCCGUG
Molecule: ribosomal RNA, 487 nt
Filed under: uncultured bacterium
Lineage: Bacteria
Description: partial 16S ribosomal RNA
Rfam family: Bacterial small subunit ribosomal RNA
Source: RNAcentral